RNAcentral lists this ribosomal RNA (493 nucleotides) under uncultured bacterium. RNAcentral describes it as "partial 16S ribosomal RNA". It matches the Rfam family "Bacterial small subunit ribosomal RNA", at positions 29 to 507 of the family's 1533-position model. The record is from RNAcentral.
ACGAACGCUGGCGGCGUGCUUAACACAUGCAAGUCGAACGGUGAAGCGCCUUCCUUUUUGGUGGGUGUGGAUGAGUGGCGAACGGGUGAGUAACACGUGAGUAACCUGCCCCCUUCUUCUGGAUAACCGCAUGAAAGUGUGGCUAAUACGGGAUAUUCUGGGUCUGUCGCAUGAUGGGUCUGGGAAAGAUAUUGUUUCGGUGGGGGAUGGGCUCGCGGCCUAUCAGCUUGUUGGUGGGGUGAUGGCCUACCAAGGCGGUGACGGGUAGCCGGCCUGAGAGGGUGGACGGUCACACUGGGACUGAGACACGGCCCAGACUCCUACGGGAGGCAGCAGUGGGGAAUAUUGUACAAUGGGCGCAAGCCUGAUGCAGCGACGCCGCGUGAGGGAUGGAGGCCUUCGGGUUGUGAACCUCUUUCGCCAGUGAAGCAGGCCUGCCUCGUUUGUGGGUGGGUUGACGGUAGCUGGAUAAGAAGCGCCGGCUAACUACGUG